UACGUAGGGGGCAAGCGUUGUCCGGAUUUAUUGGGCGUAAAGAGCGUGUAGGCGGCCAAAUAGGUCGGUUGUGAAAACUGGAGGCUUAACCUCCAGACGUCGACCGAAACCAUCUGGCUAGAGUCCGGAAGAGGAGAGUGGAAUUCCUGGUGUAGCGGUGAAAUGCGCAGAUAUCAGGAGGAACACCAGCAGCGAAGGCGGCGCUCUGGGCUGGAACUGACGCUGAGGAGCGAAAGCGUGGGUAGCAAACAGG
This 253-nucleotide ribosomal RNA is filed under the name uncultured bacterium. Its description in RNAcentral is "partial 16S ribosomal RNA". It matches the Rfam family "Bacterial small subunit ribosomal RNA", at positions 524 to 776 of the family's 1533-position model. The record is from RNAcentral.